Molecule: ribosomal RNA, 494 nt
Filed under: uncultured bacterium
Lineage: Bacteria
Description: partial 16S ribosomal RNA
Rfam family: Bacterial small subunit ribosomal RNA
Source: RNAcentral
GACGAACGCUGGCGGCGUGCUUAACACAUGCAAGUCGAACGGUGAAGCGCCUUCCGUUUUGGUGGGUGUGGGUGAGUGGCGAACGGGUGAGUAACACGUGAGUAACCUGCGGCCUUCUUCGGGAGAACCGCAGGAAAGUUUGGCUAAUAGGGGAGAGUCUGGGUCUGUCGGAUGAUGGGUCUGGGCGAGAUAAUGUUUCGGUGGGGGGUGGGCGCGCGGCUUAGCAGCUUGGUGGUGGGGUGAUGGCCUACCAUGGCGGUGAGGAGUGGGCGGCCUGGGAGGGUGGGCGGCACUAGUGGGAAUGAACCACGGACACGACUACUACGGGCGGCAGCAGUGGGGAAUAUUGAACAAUGGGAGCAAGGAUGCUGCAGCGACGCCGCGGGAGGGAUGGAGGCCUUCGGGUUGUGAACCUCUUUCGGCAGUGAAGCAGGCCUGCCUCGUUUGUGGGUGGGUUGACGGUAGCUGGAUAAGAAGCGCCGGCUAACUACGUG